GAUGAAGAACGCAGUGAAAUGCGAUAACUAAUGUGAAUUGCAGAAUUCAGUGAAUCAUCGAGUCUUUGAACGCACAUUGCGCCCCCUGGUAUUCCGGGGGACAUGCCUGUCCGAGCGUCAUUGCUGCCCUCAAGCACGGCUUGUGUGUUGGGCUCCGUCCCCCCGGGGACGGGCCCGAAAGGCAGCGGCGGCACCGAGUCCGGUCCUCGAGCGUAUGGGGCUUUGUCACCCGCUCUGUAGGCCCGGCCGGCGCCAGCCGACAACCCAUCAUCCUUUUCAGGUUGACCUCGGAUCAGGUAGGGAUACCCGCUGAACUUAAGCAUAUCAAUAAGCGGAGGA
Molecule: unclassified non-coding RNA, 339 nt
Filed under: soil metagenome
Description: partial contains 5.8S ribosomal RNA, internal transcribed spacer 2, and large subunit ribosomal RNA
Rfam family: 5.8S ribosomal RNA (bases 1-120)
Source: RNAcentral